This 485-nucleotide ribosomal RNA is filed under the name uncultured Aquabacterium sp. RNAcentral describes it as "bacterial SSU rRNA". It matches the Rfam family "Bacterial small subunit ribosomal RNA", at positions 8 to 491 of the family's 1533-position model. Lineage: Bacteria; Pseudomonadati; Pseudomonadota; Betaproteobacteria; Burkholderiales; Sphaerotilaceae. The record is from RNAcentral.
AGAGUUUGAUCAUGGCUCAGAUUGAACGCUGGCGGCAUGCCUUACACAUGCAAGUCGAACGGUAACGCGGGGCAACCUGGCGACGAGUGGCGAACGGGUGAGUAAUAUAUCGGAACGUGCCCAGUAGUGGGGGAUAGCCCGGCGAAAGCCGGAUUAAUACCGCAUACGACCUAAGGGUGAAAGGGGGGGAUCGCAAGACCUCUCGCUAUUGGAGCGGCCGAUAUCAGAUUAGGUAGUUGGUGGGGUAAAAGCCCACCAAGCCGACGAUCUGUAGCUGGUCUGAGAGGACGACCAGCCACACUGGGACUGAGACACGGCCCAGACUCCUACGGGAGGCAGCAGUGGGGAAUUUUGGACAAUGGGCGCAAGCCUGAUCCAGCCAUGCCGCGUGCGAGAAGAAGGCCUUCGGGUUGUAAACCGCUUUUGUCAGGGAAGAAAUCCCUUGGGAUAAUACCUCGGGGGGAUGACGGUACCUGAAGAAUAGC